AGCAGUGAUGGGUCAAGGAGGUGCAUCUGCAGGUUAUGGAUAUGGUGCAAAUGAUUCCUCUUAUGGAGCUCCAUCUGGUUAUGGUGCAAUCGGUGGGCGGCCUAACAGCCUUGGCGGUGGCUAUGCUGAUGUUUCAGAUGGCUCUGGAGGAUAUGGGAAUCACCAAGGGAACGGGCAAGGUGGUUAUGGUGGAGGUUAUGGGAGUGGUAAUCAAGCUUUACAACAGUGAUUGGAGGAAGAAAGAAAGACUACUACAUUGUGGUCUUUUCCUCAAACUCCUCUUUCCUCUUUAAGGAUGCCGCCCUUGACCUGGAUUAUCUAUUUUGUUAGUUUCUUAAUAAGUUGUUCAGGCACUCUUGAUGCUGAGUCGUACUUAGUAUUUCAUAUGAAGUUGUAGUGUGCUUAUUUAUAUUUGUUGCUUUGGAACGUUUUUCUUUUCUCUAUGCUAGUGUUUGUGUUUAACAAUAACUUAUCCACUAUUCAUCUUUCUUUGUUUCAUUUAUUCUUUUGAAUAUUCCUUCAAGAUUCUUGCUUCAUCAUCUC
This 543-nucleotide long non-coding RNA is filed under the name Brassica napus (rape). RNAcentral describes it as "long non-coding RNA (BNAP_LNC015080)". Lineage: Eukaryota; Viridiplantae; Streptophyta; Magnoliopsida; Brassicales; Brassicaceae. The record is from RNAcentral.